RNAcentral lists this long non-coding RNA (709 nucleotides) under Lonchura striata (white-rumped munia). RNAcentral describes it as "domestica (Bengalese finch) lncRNA (ENSLSDG00000009737.1)". The record is from RNAcentral. Lineage: Eukaryota; Metazoa; Chordata; Aves; Passeriformes; Estrildidae.
GCCAAGACUGACCCAAUUUCCUCUAGUUAUGUUUGAUCCUGCCUCUCUGCUGAAGCCCUGCCAAGAUCUCUUCAGGUCCCUUUCAGACUCUGUGAUUUCUGUUGAUUAUGUGCCUUCUUUUAUUUCCUGUUAAAUGAAGAAAAGAAAAAAGACAAAACCAAUUAGCAAGAUUUUUAUCUAACUUCUAGACAGAUAGCUGUAAGCAAGACUUCAUUUUCCAAUGUUCUUAAUAGUCUUAUUUAGACUAUGAGUAUAUUCUAGCUUUUUACUUUAAGAAUGUUUUUCUCCCACCCACUAUGAAUGCCAAGCCUGUCAAUCACACUAACAACAACAAGAUACAUAUGGGACAGUUUAAGGAGGAAGAGCAGACAUAAGAAACUGCUCCUUUAACUUACUUGGAGUCAACUCCAAAAUGUGUGCCUGGGAGAAAAAAAAAUGAGUAUCUGUUUGGAAUGCCUGAAGCUGCUGUGGUUGUAGAAAAACUGUGCAUGACUGGAUCUCAUUUCUUGAAUGCAACAGAAUAUGAGCUGAGCAGAUUCAAAACAAUGCACCAGCCAAAGCUUCAGAAGAUGGUGCAUGACAUCAAGAAAAAUGAAAGUGGGAUAAUAAACAAGUUCAAAAAGUAAGUUUGCAACACCAAUCCCUAGUUUUAUCAAUGUGGGGAAGUUUGGAUUAUGAGCAUAGAGGUGUGUGGUACUUUAGUGAUGGG